CAAUGGCAAAAAGAAACACGACCAUGAGGAAACACACUGCAUUAUAUUCCAACAUACAUAGUAGUAUUACUUAUACGCGUAUAGUAUUUACAUUGAGCACGCGCCGGUGGCGUUCCCAAAUGGGUGGCCGCGUACCGGGUGCCCCACAAUUGGACUAAUUAGCCCCACCACAAGUGGAUCACUUACUGUAAUGCGAGUCUUCCUAAUUGCCCGAGCAGACUUAAUUCGAUUUUCUGAGCUCAAAUUGUCACCUAAUUUCAAGGGGACAUUUUAUGUCUAUCGUGAAAAUUAGAAAGUAAUGCUAUGGGUCCUCAUUUAUUAGACGCUUGUGUUCUUACGGUGUACAUAAUAUGACUUGGCAUUGUGCAAUUGUAUAUACAAGUACUUUGUAUUCCUUUCCCUUUUUGUUCUGAACUUGGCAACAGAAGCCAGUGCCAAUGACCUACUUCAUUGAAUAAAUACACUAGUUAUAUGUAGUAUGUGCAAUUAGCGGUAACUUACUAAAAAGUAAUUAUACUCUUCCAAAAAUAAAUAAGAAAAUUAACCCCAUCGAAUAUCCAUUCCUAAUAAUCCAAAAUUCACGAGCAAGUAGUGGGCACUGUUAGUGUUGCCCUAAUUGUUGCUAUUAAAUAAACGAAUUUAGAACCCAACACGAAAUGGAAUGUGAAAUUUGUCAGAGCUUUGAAAGCUUUGAAUGGGUAAACAAAGAUCGUGACUGGGCUAAAUCGUGAAUGGUUUCAGCGUUCAAAACGGAUAUAAACACUCGCGAUCACCAAUGGUCAAACAUGAAACUUGGAGAGUAAGGGGAAAGCCAUUUCCAUGGCUGUUUUGGAGGUCAAGGCAGAUUAGCAACGCAGAAAAACAGUAAUAAACUGCACGACAGGUGGACUAGAAAGGUAGACAAUGCAAUCAGCACAGUAUAAAUCAUCACCUGCUGUCCGUCACCAGCGAUAAGAACUCGAAUUAGCCGGCAAUAAAGCGCCUAUUAGUUUGGCCCAAAAAUAUGUAUUGCCAAAGAAAAAGGAGGAAGCAGGCGGAACAACGACAAAAGCUCGCAUCGUGACGUUUUCAAAGGGGUUAUUUUAGUACUGCUGACUAGUCCGCAGUGUGCAAAGUUCGCCCUGAAAGGGGUGACGAGUGCCAAGUGGGGCUGUUUGGUGUUUGGACUGAUUUUACCGGGCCAGAACCACUUCCGUGAAAUGAUAUUCCACUCGAACGAAAUACCUGUUUGUACUUGUACUGGUCAAUUAGUAAGAUGGUAAAAAUAAACAAAAUACGCCAUGAAAACACCCCUCGACUUACUGGGCUUAGUCAUUUUCAUCCCUUACCCUGUACUGCGAUAUUACUUAAGGUUGCACAGGCUUUCCACCGAGUCUGUCUCGACGGUCAUAGGCAUAAAAUCAGAACGAAAACACCCACAAGUUACUUGAAUAGUACCUCUACCAUAUAGUAAUUCCUCAUGGUGCGACCCUUUCCAAAUCUUUUAUCCAUACUUAUCGGAUAUCCUCACGGACGAGCAGCUAACAACUUCAUCAUUUGUACAUUGAACAAGCCGUUCCAGAUGCCCAACAGCAUCACUAGCAACAGCUUCUCUAGCUUUCCAGAUCAGCAAUAAUUAAAAUAGCCCCUCAAUUUCUUACGUCAUGACUUAUGGAUAAGAUCAUAAAAAUAAAAGCAAACUUAAGAAAUAUAUGUGUAUAUUUUUUCAACACCUGGGGAUUGCCAGCCUGUGCCGAAAUUCUAAUCAGUCGGCGACAGCUGACAGACAUGGAAAACUAAAUUGUGCACCGGCGGACAUCCUCUUCACUUAUCAGAGUUUGGAGCACUAGAGGUGCCUACUCCUCCGCAGGCGUAAUCGGGCCACUCGCCUCGUAAUCUCGUCGCCGGAUCGCCAGACAAGAAAUUUUCCAUGCUGCCUUAAAAACACCUCAUGCACCGUCCCGAUCCGAUCCGCCAUCUACCAUUCCAUUCACCUCUUGACCAAGGGAGGACGCGUGGCCGUCUCCCGCUUAUCAGAAAUCGGAAAUCCGAAAAUAUACCAAAAACCGCCACUCUCACCACACGUGCGAGCCAAAAAUGAAAAAAUUAUGAGGAAUGGUAUAACAACUACGGCGAGAACAAGAAGCACCGGCGACUUAUCUUAAUAACAAUAACAUCAGCUGUUGAUUCGCGUGUCGCAUGUAUCGCAUGGAAUAUUUCAGUUUCCCUCCUACACUGUGCAAAAACCUUUUUAAACAGCUAAAAAUAAUUUGUUUGGCAAAAAAUUUAUGAUAAAAUUUAUGAGAAAAUCUCUUUACGUAAAA
Drosophila santomea is the source of this 2303-nucleotide long non-coding RNA. RefSeq lists it as uncharacterized. The record is from RefSeq and is a predicted model, not a curated record. The transcript is spliced from 2 exons. Lineage: Eukaryota; Metazoa; Arthropoda; Insecta; Diptera; Drosophilidae.